This 406-nucleotide ribosomal RNA is filed under the name uncultured bacterium. RNAcentral's name for it is "bacterial SSU rRNA". It matches the Rfam family "Bacterial small subunit ribosomal RNA", at positions 355 to 776 of the family's 1533-position model. The record is from RNAcentral.
UCAAGAAUAUUCCUCAAUGGACGAAAGUCUGAAGGAGCGACGCCGCGUGCAGGAUGAAGGUCUUCGGAUCGUAAACUGCUUUUAUUAGGGAAGAAUUAGUGACGGUACCUAAUGAAUAAGAGGUUGCUAACUCUGUGCCAGCAGCAGCGGUAAUACAGAGACCUCAAGCGUUAUCCGGAUUUAUUGGGCGUAAAGCGUCCGCAGGUGGUUUAGCGGGUCAGGGGUUAAAGCCUAACGCUUAACGUUAGGACUGCCUCUGAAACUACUAGACUAGAGUACGGAAGAGGUGAGCGGAAUUCUCGGUGUAGUCGUAAUAAGCGUUGAUAUCGAGAAGAACACCAAAUGCGAAGGCAGCUCACUAGUACGUAACUGACACUCAUGGACGAAAGCGUGGGGAGCAAACAGG